UAUAUAUAUAUGUGUGUGUGUGUAUGUAUAUAUAUGUAUGUAUGUAUAUAUGCGGCGAAUGGAGAAGGCGGAGACUUAAACCAAUUUAUUAAAUGGGCACCAAUUUAUACCCGCUUUCUUCUUCCACUCCAAACUUCGCGCUCCAUUCGUCGUCUUACAAUUUGAUUCGCUAUAAAGACACGACAAAUUUCGAGCUCUGAUGCUUUUCUGAUCUCUCUCCGACAAUGGAGAUCUUCUUCUAUCUCGUUUUUGGGGCACUGGGUGUCAUUGUUGCAGCCAUCGAGCUGAGUAAAACCAACAGGGACAGGAUCAAUGCCACCACCGCUUUCAAUUCAUUCAAGAACAAUUACCUUCUUGUUUACUCUCUCAUGAUGGCUGGGGAUUGGUUGCAGGGCCCUUAUGUGUACUAUCUUUACAGUCAAUAUGGCUUUGGAAAAGGGGAGAUUGGACAGCUUUUUAUAGCUGGUUUUGGCUCCUCUAUGUUGUUUGGGACAAUUGUCGGAUCACUUGCUGAUAAACAAGGUCGAAAGAGAGCUUGUGUGACGUAUUGUGUCACUUAUAUACUGAGUUGCAUCACAAAGCAUUCACCCCAAUAUAGAAUUUUGAUGUUGGGCCGUAUUUUGGGAGGCAUUGCCACUUCUCUCCUCUUUUCUGCAUUCGAGUCGUGGCUUAUUGCUGAACAUAACAAGAGGGGCUUUGAGCAACAAUGGCUAUCAGUUACUUUCUCAAAGGCAAUAUUUCUUGGCAAUGGUCUUAUUGCCAUUUUAUCUGGGCUUUUUGGGAACGUACUAGUUCACUCCUUGGAUCUUGGGGCGGUAGCGCCUUUUGAUGCGGCUUCUUGCUUUCUUGCCCUUGGUAUGAUCAUCAUCUUAUCUUCGUGGACAGAGAACUAUGGAGAUCCAUCUGAAAACAAAGACCUUCUCACCCAAUUCAGGGGUGCAGCAGUGGCCAUUGCUUCUGAUGAGAAAAUUGCCCUCCUUGGUGCUAUUCAGUCCCUGUUUGAAGGUUCAAUGUAUACCUUCGUCUUCCUUUGGACUCCUGCUCUGAGCCCCAAUAAUGAGGAAAUUCCCCAUGGCUUCAUUUUUGCAACAUUCAUGUUAGCGUCUAUGUUAGGAAGUUCCCUAGCAUCUAGGUUACUGGCCCGCGCAUCAUUAAGGGUGGAGAACUAUAUGCAGAUUGUUUUCGUUGUCUCAGCUGCAUCUCUUGUUCUCCCAAUAGUUACAAGUUUCUUGGUAGAACCAUCCCAAGUGAAAGGUGGGAGCAUCUCUUUUUCAGGCUGCAUCCAGUUGGUUGGAUUCUGUGUCUUUGAGGCUUGUGUGGGUAUAUUCUGGCCAUCCAUUAUGAAAAUGAGAUCCCAAUACAUUCCUGAAGAGGCGAGGAGCACCAUUAUGAAUUUCUUCCGCAUUCCUCUUAAUAUCUUUGUGUGUGUCGUGCUGUACAACGUUGAUGCAUUCCCAAUCAGUGUCAUGUUCGGUAUGUGCUCAAUUUUCCUGUUCGUGGCCUCCAUCCUGCAGCGGCGCCUCUUGGUGAUAGUAGAGAAGCUAAAGAUAGAAAGCAGGCCUAGUUUCCGGGAAAAGGAUGCAGAGAUGGAACCCUUGAAUGCGUAAGGUCACAAGAACACAUAUCUGUGCUCCUCCUCAGUAGGAAGAAGAAAAAGGAUGUGAAAACCUCUCCUUAUCAGUCCGUAGGCUUGGGUUGUUUAAAGUUCAAAUAGUACAUAUCUUUUAAGAACUUUGAGGGAAAGUGCCAGUGAGGAAGUUGAGCCCCGAGAACGGGUGGACACGAGACGGUGUGCGAGUAAGGAUGCUGGGCUCUGAAGAGUAGUAGAUUAGAGUCCCACAUCGAUUAGAGAGCAAAACGAGUAUCAACGAAGAUGCUGAACUUCAAAGGGAGUGGAUUAGAGGGUGUCAACCGCGAAAGAGACUAGUCAAGACACUAGGGUUGUUUUAAAUUUUACUUUUAUUUUGUUGAUAUUGUAUUUUAUGACCACCUUCUUCCCACACGACCGCCGCCUUUGAAUCUUGGUUUUUUCAGAAAGUGGGCGGCGGCGGCGG
Cucurbita pepo subsp. pepo (vegetable marrow) is the source of this 2054-nucleotide non-coding RNA. NCBI's taxonomy places the organism in Eukaryota, Viridiplantae, Streptophyta, Magnoliopsida, Cucurbitales, Cucurbitaceae. The record is from RefSeq and is a predicted model, not a curated record.